RNAcentral lists this ribosomal RNA (270 nucleotides) under uncultured bacterium. RNAcentral describes it as "partial 16S ribosomal RNA". It matches the Rfam family "Bacterial small subunit ribosomal RNA", at positions 29 to 324 of the family's 1533-position model. The record is from RNAcentral.
AGCGAACGCUGGCGGCAGGCCUAACACAUGCAAGUCGAGCGCUCGUAGCAAUACGAGAGCGGCAGACGGGAGAGUAACACGUGGGAACGUACCCUUCGGUUCGGAAUAACCCAGGGAAACUUGGGCUAAUACCGGAUACGUCCGCAAGGAGAAAGAUUCAUUGCCGAAGGAUCGGCCCGCGUCCGAUUAGCUAGUUGGUGAGGUAACGGCCCACCAAGGCGACGAUCGGUAGCUGGUCUGAGAGGAUGAUCAGCCUCACUGGGACUGAGA